GACGAACGCUGGCGGCGUGCCUAAUACAUGCAAGUAGAACGCUGAGGUUUGGUGUUUACACUAGACUGAUGAGUUGCGAACGGGUGAGUAACGCGUAGGUAACCUGCCUCAUAGCGGGGGAUAACUAUUGGAAACGAUAGCUAAUACCGCAUAAGAGUAAUUAACACAUGUUAGUUAUUUAAAAGGAGCAAUUGCUUCACUGUGAGAUGGACCUGCGUUGUAUUAGCUAGUUGGUGAGGUAAAGGCUCACCAAGGCGACGAUACAUAGCCGACCUGAGAGGGUGAUCGGCCACACUGGGACUGAGACACGGCCCAGACUCCUACGGGAGGCAGCAGUAGGGAAUCUUCGGCAAUGGACGGAAGUCUGACCGAGCAACGCCGCGUGAGUGAAGAAGGUUUUCGGAUCGUAAAGCUCUGUUGUUAGAGAAGAACGUUGGUAGGAGUGGAAAAUCUACCAAGUGACGGUAACUAACCAGAAAGGGACGGCUAACUACGUGCCAGCAGCCGCGGUAAUACGUAGGUCCCGAGCGUUGUCCGGAUUUAUUGGGCGUAAAGCGAGCGCAGGCGGUUCUUUAAGUCUGAAGUUAAAGGCAGUGGCUUAACCAUUGUACGCUUUGGAAACUGGAGGACUUGAGUGCAGAAGGGGAGAGUGGAAUUCCAUGUGUAGCGGUGAAAUGCGUAGAUAUAUGGAGGAACACCGGUGGCGAAAGCGGCUCUCUGGUCUGUAACUGACGCUGAGGCUCGAAAGCGUGGGGAGCAAACAGGAUUAGAUACCCGUGGUAGUCCACGCCGUAAACGAUGAGUGCUAGGUGUUAGGCCCUUUCCGGGGCUUAGUGCCGCAGCUAACGCAUUAAGCACUCCGCCUGGGGAGUACGACCGCAAGGUUGAAACUCAAAGGAAUUGACGGGGGGCCCGCACAAGCGGUGGAGCAUGUGGUUUAAUUCGAAGCAACGCGAAGAACCUUACCAGGUCUUGACAUCCUUCUGACCGGCCUAGAGAUAGGCUUUCUCUUCGGAGCAGAAGUGACAGGUGGUGCAUGGUUGUCGUCAGCUCGUGUCGUGAGAUGUUGGGUUAAGUCCCGCAACGAGCGCAACCCCUAUUGUUAGUUGCCAUCAUUAAGUUGGGCACUCUAGCGAGACUGCCGGUAAUAAACCGGAGGAAGGUGGGGAUGACGUCAAAUCAUCAUGCCCCUUAUGACCUGGGCUACACACGUGCUACAAUGGUUGGUACAACGAGUCGCAAGCCGGUGACGGCAAGCUAAUCUCUUAAAGCCAAUCUCAGUUCGGAUUGUAGGCUGCAACUCGCCUACAUGAAGUCGGAAUCGCUAGUAAUCGCGGAUCAGCACGCCGCGGUGAAUACGUUCCCGGGCCUUGUACACACCGCCCGUCACACCACGAGAGUUUGUAACACCCGAAGUCGGUGAGGUAACCUUUUAGGAGCCAGCCGCCUAAGGUGGGAUAGAUGAUUGGGGUGAAGUCGUAACAAGGUAGCCGUAUCGGAAGG
Molecule: ribosomal RNA, 1503 nt
Filed under: Streptococcus agalactiae ILRI112
Lineage: Bacteria; Bacillati; Bacillota; Bacilli; Lactobacillales; Streptococcaceae
Description: SSU rRNA
Rfam family: Bacterial small subunit ribosomal RNA
Source: RNAcentral